This 548-nucleotide long non-coding RNA is filed under the name Cricetulus griseus (Chinese hamster). RNAcentral's name for it is "lncRNA (ENSCGRG00015031776.1)". Lineage: Eukaryota; Metazoa; Chordata; Mammalia; Rodentia; Cricetidae. The record is from RNAcentral.
UUCAGGGGUCUGGAUCAGUCCCGUGCUGGCCUCCCAGACAGCAGUCUGGGGUCCAUGUGCUCCCCCUUGUUCAAGCCAGCUAUUUCUGUGGGUUUCAACAGCCUGGUACCUACCCCUUUGAUCCUCAUUCCUCCCUCUCUGUAACUAAGUUCCAGAGUUCAGUUCAGUGUAUAUCUGUUGGUGUCUGCCUCUGCUUCCAUCAGCCACUGGAUGAGGGCUCUGAGGUUCGGGUGCCAGCAACAGGACAGAGGACGGAGUGUGGACAGAGGUGAGCCUGCUGUCCACAAGGGAUGACGACAAUUAACCCCGGCAUCAUGAUGUCAGCAUGGCGAGCGCAGCACUAGCGGAUCUACCUCUCAUGGUACAUAACCUCAUUUCCUAUGCCACGAGGAAGCACUGGGAAUGAAGACUAAACCUGCUAUGAUUCCUGUUGACCUUUGAAGCUCAAAGAAGGUCUGGGCCUUCUCUUCCUCCUGCUCCACAUUGCUUCUCUUUAGAUCCCUGAAUAAAACCGAACAGGUCACGUGGCUCUGUGAGGCCAUCAGAAC